This 71-nucleotide transfer RNA is filed under the name Euxiphydria potanini. RNAcentral describes it as "tRNA-Gln". The record is from RNAcentral. Lineage: Eukaryota; Metazoa; Arthropoda; Insecta; Hymenoptera; Xiphydriidae.
AAAAUAUUAAUGUAUUUGAUGCAUAAAAAUUUUUGAGGUUUUUAGAAAUAGUUUAAAUCUAUUAUAUAUUA